Molecule: long non-coding RNA, 905 nt
Organism: Acanthopagrus latus (yellowfin seabream)
Lineage: Eukaryota; Metazoa; Chordata; Actinopteri; Spariformes; Sparidae
Exons: 6
Source: RefSeq, a predicted model, not a curated record
AUGUUUUAUUGUAACACUAGUAUUACUGAUGCAUUCACAUGUAACAGUACAGUAACAGUAUUUUACAAUUAAAUCUUAAAGCUAAAUCUAACUACUUUAAAUGCUGUUACAGUAGGUGGUGUUUGAUUUCUAACACUGCCAUACUCAUUGUUUUUUUGUUUUUAUUAUAUAAAAGCUUAAUUUGUAAAAUUGUAACUUUAAGUCUCAAAUGAAGCAAAAGUGGACCAGUAGCUAAGAGGCCAGUAACACUUGUGACUGACUGCAAGCAUGUAAGUAUCAUCUGUGCCUGUCAGUCAAGGCACAGAGCAGCCCGGUGCAGGGUGUGUAUAACUGCCCUGUUGCCAGCAGAGCAGGAAUCACCAUCAACACAACAUUAACAUUCACUUCAGCGGUGAGACAAAACCCAAGAGCGUCACAUCAGCCUACAGGUCUUCAGGAGCAGGAGUUGGGACAUCUGAAAACAUCACAAUGUCUUACGACAGGAUUCUGUCCAUCGAAAACUUGAGUGAUGUUCCAAAUCCUUGGAAGGGAUUCACUAUGAACCGCUGCAUAGUGCUGGCGCUGGUCGUGCUGCUUGUCAGCUCGAGUGUACAUGAAGUUCAUGAAGCUGUGGAUUAUUUUGUGGAGGAGACAGGCAUCAGGUCUUUCAUUGGGAGUCUGCAGGAUGGAUCAAUAUUUCAGAUUUCCAUAUGGGACAGUUUCAUGGGCUGGUGGGGAUCUGAAGAAGUCGGAGCGAUAAGAAGAAGAAAAAAGCCGAUGGGCGCCAAAGUGACCCUGAAACCCAAAAUCAAAGAGUGAUUCGCACACAGCUGUUUAAAGCAUUAAAUGUCACAACAACAGGUUUCUGAAUAAAGAAACAGUCUCAAUGUACUUUGCAUUUAAUAAUAAACAGAUACAGAAUGUUA